UGCGUAGGCGGUUCUGUAAGUAUGGUGUGAAAUCUCCCGGCUUAACUGGGAGGGUGCGCUAUAAACUGCGGGACUAGAGUGUGGGAGAGGAAAGUGGAAUUCCCGGUGUAGCGGUGAAAUGCGUAGAUAUCAGGAGGAACACCGGUGGUGUAAACGGCUUUCUGGACCAUAACUGACGCUGAGGCACGAAAGCGUGGGUAGCAAACAGGAUUAGAUACCCUGGUAGUCCACGCCCUAAACGAUGCAUAUUUGGUGUGGGUCAUUUCAGUUGAUCCGUGCCGGAGCUAACGCGUUAAAUAUGCCGCCUGGGGAGUACAGUCGCAAGGCUGAA
RNAcentral lists this ribosomal RNA (331 nucleotides) under uncultured bacterium. Its description in RNAcentral is "bacterial SSU rRNA". It matches the Rfam family "Bacterial small subunit ribosomal RNA", at positions 568 to 898 of the family's 1533-position model. The record is from RNAcentral.